This is a long non-coding RNA of Fukomys damarensis (Damara mole-rat), 3994 nucleotides long. The record is from Ensembl. NCBI's taxonomy places the organism in Eukaryota, Metazoa, Chordata, Mammalia, Rodentia, Bathyergidae.
UAUGGGCACCUGUGGUCUAAAUCCUACAACACCAGAGAUGACAGCAAAUACCACACGCUAAAGCAACGAGCUGUAGUAACACGAGGCUGCAAUUCAGCUGCGUGGGUCAGGGGAAGUGGUCGGUUCUUGGUUUUGGAACCAGACGGCCCCCUCUGGAGCCCAGAUUCUGCCACUUACCUUAGGAGGCGAGGUCUUUUUCUGUGCCUCACUUUGCUGACAAGCGGAGAUGAUCAUCACCAAGGGGCUAACGCUGGCAAAGUGGUUAAAACAUCACCGACCAAAGGAAGAUCCUUUGUCAUUUUUGUUGACUUCUCAGGUGGCAAUGGAAGAGAGGAAAUGACAGCACCUGGUGCACUGCUUGGGGAAGCAGGAAACCGGGUGCAUUUAAAGGAAGGGGCAGCGCGAGGCAGCCACGCACAGGUGUCGGCGUGUACUUUGCUCUCCGAGAUAAGCGAAGCCUGUGCCUAUUUAAACGUGGGUGGCAAAGGGGCCAGCGGACAGGAAGACGGGAGAGAGCGGGCGGCGUGGGAGCAGGAUGAUCUGCAGCUUGGACACCGGAGAUUCGAGAAGUAGUGAAUGAAGAUCAAAGAAAUUUGACUCUUGGCUCAAGACCCUGCAAAUACAAGUCACUUUUCCCUCUCCUCUAGAGCCUGACUUUUAAUCACCACAGUGUUCUAUUUUGGUUUGGCUCUGCCCAGAAGUUGUGAAAGGAUCAGCUGAGAUAAUUUCUGUGACAACAUCCUAUAAUUUUUAACACUGUACUCAUUCGCCAAAUAUUUAUUUCACCCUUGGCACAUGCCCUGCCCUGGAGUAGAAAUGAAGAUGAAUUAUGCAGUCGGCAUCUGGAGGUUCUUUGUCUAGUAGCGGGGACACAAACAUCUGAAAAUGGCAGUAAAAACGGAGCUUAUUUUUUUCUUAGGACAGGGGUCAGAGAAAAUUUGAAGAUGCUCCUUGCUCAAAUACACUAAAAUAUGAGUAGAAGUUUUUUUCAGCAGAAACUGCGUUACAGGACAUGGAAAGAAGGUGGGAGCAACAAGAGAAAAGAUAGGAAAUUGGUAAACACAAGACACCUCAGACCUGAGCAGUCAGCUACUGUGGCAAAAAUAUAGGAUGUGGGAUGUCAAGUUGUAGAACAAAAACUCAGAAAGAAGCAUGCAUUGGGGCCAGAUUAUAAAGGAGUUUGGAAUUCUGAAUUUUCUUCAUUGGGCUAAUGGAAUGGUUAAACCUAGGCAAAUACAUACUACUGACAAGAGAGUCACAAUAAUUAUCUCUGUGACAGUAGUAAUGAAGAGUAUUUAUUGAAAACUUGAUCUGUGUUAAUAAGUGCAUUCACACAUGCCAGAUUUACUUAAUCUUCACAGUUACCUGGGAGGCGGGGUAGGGACUGUGUUUACUCCCUGCACAGUGCGCUUAGCCACACUCCUGUACUACCAGGAUAGUAAUGACUCCAGAAUAUCCACACAGUGGGCCUCUAGCCAAGGAAAUCCUCCUGAAAGAGAGGGUGUGGGCUUACAUCAACUGUUUGGGGUUUUGUUUUGUCCUCUGAAUUCGAGUCGAUGUGACAAGCACAGUGUUUCUUCUUGACUCAUCUGCACUGACUUUCGAGGACACUGGUAAAGAUAGAGAUGUUAAAGUUUUCCAUUACAAAACGUUCUCAGGACAUCGACACUGUAGAGUGAAAUAGAAGACAGGGUGAAAUUACAAGGCUUGUGAACCAGGAUUAGUACAUUUGGUACCUCAGCAAAGCUAUUGGAGGAUGCCAAUUCAGUAUGGGUUGAAUGGUAGUAACAUGAUCAGCUCAACACAUAGCAGGAACCCAAGCAUGGAUCAUCUUACUUAUAUAUGUUCUCUCAUGUUCUGUGUGACAACGGACACAGGAUGUAACAAGUUGUGCCUUUGUCCCAUGCAUAGGAAGUCAGCAGAGAGUUUAACACUAGACAUUUACUCUGGACAUUAACUGCUACCCUAAAGCAAACUAAACCUCAGGGGCAAAAGCAGCCCUUGUUCCAGAAAAACAUUCUGCCAGAAAGAAACCUUGCAUCACCAUAAAUAGGACAGUGAGGUCUGGGGACGGGGUCCUGUUGCCAUCGCUAGCCUUGUAAUUCCCUUCUUUCGCCACACUUGGAAACAAGAUGUACUAGGUCAAAUAUCCUCAGUGCCAGACUUAGGGGGUAUUUCUCAGAGAUCCAUGAAUUUCCUUGGGAGGUUUCUUUCAGCAAAUAUUUAUUUGACUGAAGGGAAGAAUUCAGAAAUUUGGACAAGAACUUGGAUGUAUCAGGCAGAUCCUAUUGCUUCAAGCUGCACAGUUAUUUUUGUGAGAAAAAAGAAAUGAGAUAAGUCAAACAGUUACCAAGAUUUGGCUGCAAAAAAACUAAAGAAUUUUCAAAAAGUUGCUAAAGGUAUAGAGGUCAAGGUGAAAGAUAAAUUACCCUUCUGCACACAGGGGUUCUUCUCAUCUGCAAUUUUGCUUUCCAUGUGUCCCUUAUUCACAGUCAACUGUGGUACAACAUUAUGAAGUGGAAAUGUCCAGAAAAUAAACAAUUUAAAUUCUGAGUGGCAUGAGGAAGUUUCACAUCAUCCUGCUCCAUCCUACCCUGCAGGUGAAUCCUCACUUGCUCCACCACACCCGCACUGCGUAUUACGGUUACCAGACCCUGGGGGCCCGGGGGCCCUUUGCAGGCUGUUGCCAUCCCAUUCAAAGAAUCAGACAGGACAACUGAAGAUUGUGAAAGUUUAACAUUUAUUAAGGUAAAAGAAGAAGAAGAGAAGGUUCUCUGAAGAAAAGAAAGGGAGAAGAGAAAACAUUCCAUGCACACAAGAGUGGGCGGCUGCAAAAGGAAGAGGGAGCAGCCAUGGACCGUGAGGCCAACGGCUGCCAUCUUUUACAGCCUUCUUCUGACACCAGGGCCGGGCUGUCUGACACAGGGCCCCAAAACCGUUCUGCCUGCAUCCCAGCUGUGAUGCACCUGAGAGGUCAAACCCAUUAUUCCAGCCAGCUUGUCAUGCCCUAAUCUCCUGCCUCAUUACCAACUAGUGUAAACGAUACUAUUACAGACAAAGACUGUAUUCAUGUGGAUUCAUUUUUUCAAGUUUUAUUAGUUCAAAUUUGCAGUACAUAAUGAUUACCUUCCUUAUAUUAUGAUAAUUUUUCUAUUUUAUUAUUACAAAAUGUUAAUCUCUUGCUGUAUGUGAUUUAAAAAUUAAAUAAUGUCAUAGAUAUUUAUAAGGAACAACAUAGUAUGUAUAGGGUUUAGGUGUCAACAAGGAGUCUUGGAAUAUGUCCUCUUCAGAUAAGGGGGAUUACUAUAUUCAUUUGUCAAGAGCUAUCAAUUUUCAUUAUACUUAAAUUUGUAUAAUCUGUUUAUGUUGAUUACACCUCAAUAAAACUAUAAAAACAGAAAGUAGGAACACAGCAAAGGGUUCUUCUCUUAAAUGUUUCAGAUCAAAUAUAAGUAUUAGAGGACUUAUCUGUUAGUGUCAAGGACCCAACCUCUGGCUUAUCAUCCUCCAAUCCUCUACAAGUGGCUUUCGUUUUCAGAUUCCAAAGAGCUGUCCUAGCUCCUGCCAUUGUGUCCACAUAGCCAGUGGACAAGAAGUGGAAGACUGACCCUUGCUUUUAGCGUAAGUGGGACACUAAACACAUCUGCCAACAUGUCAUUGAGCCAAGCUGCAACGAACAUAAACACAGGAAAUUUCACUUUAACCAAUCCAGUAAAUAAGCUAUUGAUCCUGUUAUCAUUUCUAUAAAGGUUAUGGAUCAGAAAUACUCUCCACUUUAGCUUUCUUUUGUAAGACGAGAGGAGGUAGGUGUUAAAUUGAAGAAGAAAGAAAUGGUCUCCUAAAUGCUGCGGAGUUCAAAACUGGGUGGAUGGUAAAAAGAUGUGGAGCCAGGGAUUUAGCCCCAUGGUUCCACCACCUGCCUUGCAAGCACAGGGACCCAAGUUCAAUCCCCGGUACCAAAAAUAAAUAAAUAAAUAAAAGAGGUGGAAAGGCU